Molecule: ribosomal RNA, 487 nt
Filed under: uncultured bacterium
Lineage: Bacteria
Description: SSU rRNA
Rfam family: Bacterial small subunit ribosomal RNA
Source: RNAcentral
AGAACGAACGCUGGCGGCGUGCCUAACACAUGCAAGUCGAGCGCGAAUUCCUUCGGGAUAGUAGAGCGGCGCACGGGUGAGUAACACGUGGGUAAUCUGCCCUCAGGUCUGGAAUAACUAAGGGAAACUUUAGCUAAUACCGGUUAAGACCACGCUACGAAAGUAGUGUGGGAAAAGCAGGGGACUUCUUCGGAAGCCUUGCGCCAGAGGAUGAGCCCGCGGCCCAUCAGUUAGUUGGCGGGGUAACGGCCCACCAAGACUAAGACGGGUAGCUGGUCUGAGAGGAUGAUCAGCCACACUGGAACUGAGACACGGUCCAGACUCCUACGGGAGGCAGCAGUGGGGAAUUUUCGUCAAUGGGGGCAACCCUGAACGAGCAACGCCGCGUGCAGGAAGAAGGUUUUCGGAUCGUAAACUGCUUUUCUCGGGGAAGAGAACGGACGGUACCCGAGGAAUCAGCCCCGGCUAACUACGUGCCAGCAGCCGC